AGUGAAGCGGGAUGAGCUCAAAUUUGAAAUCUGGCUGGUUUACUAGUCCGAAUUGUAGUUUAUAGAAGCGUUUUCGGUGGCAGUCUCGGUAUAAAUCCUUUGGAAUAGGGUAUCAUAGAGGGUGAGAAUCCCGUCUUUGACUGAGAAUAUGCUACUAUGUGAUACGUUUUCAAAGAGUCGAGUUGUUUGGGAAUGCAGCUCAAAAUGGGUGGUAAAUUUCAUCUAAAGCUAAAUAUUGGCGAGAGACCGAUAGCGAACAAGUACCGUGAGGGAAAGAUGAAAAGAACUUUGAAAAGAGAGUUAAACAGUGCGUGAAAUUGUUGAAAGGGAAACGCUUGGAACCAGUCAUGCGGUUGGGAAAUCAGUGUUUUGCAAGGGGGAAUGGGGGAGGUGUGGACCGUAAGGCUGCUCUUUCCUAUAUCUCUUUUGUAAGGCAUGCACUUUUUCUUCUGCAGGUCAACAUCAGUUUCUUCUGCUGGACAAAACCCUUGAGAAGGUAGCAGCUUUGGCUGUGUUAUAGCUCUGGGGCGAUACAGUGGAGGGGACUGAGGUUUUCGCAGCAUGUGCUCUCGGGCAAGGCUGAUUGGGUGCUAUGGGAUCGUUCAGGGUACAAUACAUGUAUUUUGCCUUGUGUCUUUUCUAUACUCGCUCAACUCGGCUCUUCCAUGCUUAGGAUGUUGACUUAAUGGUUCUAAUCGACC
RNAcentral lists this ribosomal RNA (701 nucleotides) under Mortierella sossauensis. RNAcentral describes it as "eukaryotic LSU rRNA". It matches the Rfam family "Eukaryotic large subunit ribosomal RNA", at positions 92 to 649 of the family's 3401-position model. The record is from RNAcentral. Lineage: Eukaryota; Fungi; Mortierellomycota; Mortierellomycetes; Mortierellales; Mortierellaceae.